CAGCAGCCACGGUAAUACGGAGGGUGCAAGCGUUACUCGGAAUCACUGGGCGUAAAGGACGCGUAGGCGGAUUAUCAAGUCUCUUGUGAAAUCUAACGGCUUAACCGUUAAACUGCUUGGGAAACUGAUAAUCUAGAGUAAGGGAGAGGCAGAUGGAAUUCUUGGUGUAGGGGUAAAAUCCGUAGAGAUCAAGAAGAAUACCCAUUGCGAAGGCGAUCUGCUGGAACUUAACUGACGCUAAUGCGUGAAAGCGUGGGGAGCAAACAGGAUUAGAUACCCCAGUAGUCCCUGUCUCUUAUAC
Molecule: ribosomal RNA, 301 nt
Filed under: uncultured bacterium
Lineage: Bacteria
Description: partial 16S ribosomal RNA
Rfam family: Bacterial small subunit ribosomal RNA
Source: RNAcentral